UGUUUUGCCCUCAAUAGCGGCGAGUGAAGCGGCAAAAGCUCAAAUUUGAAAUCUGGCGUCUUUGGCGUCCGAGUUGUAAUUUGAAGAAGGUAUCUUUGGGCCCGGCUCUUGUCUAUGUUCCUUGGAACAGGACGUCACAGAGGGUGAGAAUCCCGUGCGAUGAGAUGACCCGGGUCUGUGUAAAGUUCCUUCGACGAGUCGAGUUGUUUGGGAAUGCAGCUCUAAGUGGGUGGUAAAUUCCAUCUAAAGCUAAAUAUUGGCGAGAGACCGAUAGCGAACAAGUACAGUGAUGGAAAGAUGAAAAGAACUUUGAAAAGAGAGUGAAAAAGUACGUGAAAUUGUUGAAAGGGAAGGGCUUGAGAUCAGACUUGGUAUUUUGCAUGUUGCUCUCUCGGGGGCGGCCGCUGCGGUUUACCGGGCCAGCAUCGGUUUGGAGCGGCAGGAUAAUGGCGGAGGAAUGUGGCACGGCUUCUGCUGUGUGUUAUAGCCUCUGACGAUACUGCCAGCCUAGACCGAGGACUGCGGUUUUUACCUAGGAUGUUGGCAUAAUGAUCUUAAGUCGCCCGUCUGAAAACUGGGAAACCA
Molecule: ribosomal RNA, 585 nt
Filed under: Candida albicans
Lineage: Eukaryota; Fungi; Ascomycota; Pichiomycetes; Serinales; Debaryomycetaceae
Description: eukaryotic LSU rRNA
Rfam family: Eukaryotic large subunit ribosomal RNA
Source: RNAcentral